Molecule: long non-coding RNA, 3533 nt
Filed under: Olea europaea subsp. europaea
Lineage: Eukaryota; Viridiplantae; Streptophyta; Magnoliopsida; Lamiales; Oleaceae
Source: RNAcentral
GUUGCAUUUAAAGCAUUUGAGGUAGCCCUGGCCGUUCUCGAAACUUUGAUUGUUGAUGCAAACAUAUCCUUGAUUUUGAGUGGGUUAUUUUUUGCAAUUCAUUACUAGAAGAAGUUGUGUCGUACAAUAAAGAAAAAUAUCAAUGUAAAAAUUCGAGAUUUGUACAAACCAACUAUAAUACAACAUUUUCUUUGGCCUAUAUUGAGUCUUGUACACAAACUAUUGUGCAAUAUUUUCUUUAGCUUAUAUUGAGGAAAUCUAUAUCUAAGACUUUUCACAUAAUUUAACAAUGAACUUGCCAAUUUGACAUGAAGAAUAAACUAAAGUUUCCAUAAUAUUUUCUUUUAGUGGCAGGGAACUAAAGCAUCAGGUCGUACUCGGGUAAGUUUUUCGCAGUGUUAUGUUCAUAUGUACAUAAAAAGAAAAAUCUUGCUAAAAUGGGACGACUUUGAAAAUUUUCAUAUUUUAUUGUCCGAAAAAAUGGAAUAUAGCAUUUAAAGCAUUUGAAGUGGUCCACUCCAUCCUCUACACUUUGAUUGUGCGUGCAAACAGAUCUUUGAUUUUCAGCAGGUUAAUUUUGGCAAUUUAGUGCUAGAAAAAAGUUGUUUUCGACACUAAACAAAUUGCUAAUGACAAAUUUGAGAUUUGUACACACAUACUCUCCUGUAAUAUUUUCUUUAGCCUGUAUUGACGGAAUCUAAAUCUAAGACUUGUCACAUAAUUUAAAAAAGAAUUUACCAACUUGACACGAAGAAUAAGUUAAAGUUUUCCUAAUAGUUUUCUUUUUGUGGCAGGGAGCUGGAACAUCAAGUCAUGUAGAGGUCAGUUUUCUGCAUUGUUAUGUUUAUAUAUACUUUAAAAAAUUCUUGCUAAACUGGUACGACUUGGAAAAUUUUCAUAUUAUGCUUUCUGAAAAAAUGGAAUGUUGCAUUUAAAGAAUUUGAGGUAGCUCACUUCAUCCUCUACACUUUGAUUGUCAAUGCAAACAGAUUUUGAUUUUCAGCAGGGUAAUGUUGGCUAUUUAUAGCUAGAAUAAGUUGUGUUUGACACUAAACAAAUCACUAAUACAAAAAUUUGAGAUUUGCACUCACAAACUGUCGCGCAGUAUUUUCUUUAGCUUGUAUUGAGGUAAUCUAAAUCUAAGACUUGUCACAUAAUUUAACAAAGAACUUACCAAUUAGACAUGAAGAAUAAACUAGAGUUUUUCUAAUAUCUUUCUUUUUGCAGCAGGGAACUGCAACAUCAGGCCAUACUCGGGUAAGUUUUCUAUAUGAAGAAAAGACUCAAGAUAUCAACUCGUGCAACUUGAGAUUUAAAACAAUAAUUUAAAUGUUUUCUUAAGUUCUUGUCAUUAUUAGUAGUUGAUAUUUUCCUAAAUAAGUAAUUCGCUAAUACCGGUUGUAGGAUAUUAUUAUUGUUGGACCCAAAUAAGAAAGUAAACCAAUUAAAAACACCAAGUCAUUUAUUAAUUAUUUCUAGAUGAUUAAGGUAAUUAAUUCAAUUUAAUUUAUUCUAAGUGUCAAUCAAAUAAAUAUUCAGAUCAAAUCAAUAAAAUAAAUAACAUCAAGAAUUGAUCAUGGAGGAAGAUCCUCGGGAUAAAAUAAUCUCUUGGCAAACUUGCCAAUAAACGAUCCAAUAGCAAAAUUAACUUACAAUUAGUCCAGAUACUAACUCUGCUGGUUGUGCAUGCCCACACUUCCCAAAACCGUGGGCCACUUUUCUCCUAUUGGACCACCAAGAACGAACCUUUAUUCUUCAACACUAGAACUCCAAACACCUCUUCUCCAAGCUUAAGAUUUCUCAAGCUUUAUAGAUGAAGGCAGAGGGUUGUUUAGUGUUCGAAUGGCUAAAGCAAGAGAUUUAUUAAAAUAUGUAAUGGAUCUUCAAAUAAUGUUCUCUUCACUUAAAAUAAAAGCUCAACCAAUGGAAAACAAUAAAUGGGAAAAUAUUAAAUAUAUUUGUGAUUGAAUCAAUAUAUCUUUUGAAAUGAGUUUAUGAUCUUCAAAUAUUGAUCUCUAUAAUGAAUAUAAUGUUCAACCACACUUUAGAACAUUCCAUGGCUUGUGUAUUUAUAAUGGAUAGUGUUUAGGGUGAAAAGGGAUUGAAAAUCACAGUUAAAAUCGAAUCAAGAUUCUUGCUAGAUAAUAUCGCCUCCCAAGCACCAAGUAUGAACCAAGCAAGCAGCAGCCCGUCUCUCAAGCGGGCAGUUACUGUUAAGCAAGCACCAAUGAUUCUACUUCAAUUUGUGUUGCGCCACUCAAGUGCUAAUGUAAUGUACCGAAAUUUCAUAGAAUAGAAUUUAAUUUAUGUGUGCUAUAAUUUAAUAUUUUGGAAGUUUAUGGACUAAAGUAUAUAUAAAGUAAAUUUCAAUUUUUAUCGAAUGUUAAAAUUAGAUGCUGACAGAGUGACAAUAAGUAUAUGAAUAUUGGGCUCGUUGGAUAGAUAGUAAUUAAUCAUGCAUAUUAGGCUCGAGAAAAAGUUAAUCUGGAUUAUCCGACCCCGAAUUAUCGAGAUUAAAAGAUAUAGCUUUAAACUAUAUUUUAAAUGAUUAUUUAAUGAAUUUAAAAUUUAUAUAUGGUUGACAUGUAUAGAACUAGAUUCUCAAUAGGGUAAUGAAUGAUGUUUUAUUAAAAAAAAAAAAAAGGAGAGGGGAUAAGGAAACCACAUGAUAGAGAGAGCAACAUUAUUGAUUUUCCUUUCAAUUUGUUGGAAGAGGCGACAAGUGUAUGAAAUGUAUUGGUUGUUGAAUGGUAUAGUUGGUUGACAAGGCUUGGUCAAUUAUUUUAAUUCAGAAGUCCGUUUCCCAAUUCUUAUCCAUGCCCCUAUCCUACUUCUACACGUUUCCCCAACUACACACCCACUUUGUUAGACUAGAUCGUGGGUGAUAUAUUUAUAUAUGUAUAUCAAAAGAAGACAUAUGCAUAAGUACACGGUUGUAGAGAGAGAAAAGUGUUGGAAACACAUAAAUUACAUACUUCAUACUUUAUGCAAUGUAAAAGGAUUCUUACUUUCCCUAAAAAUUUAUAGAUACUUAGACCUGGGGUAUUGGGAUUUAAAAUAGGAAGUCAAUUUCGAAUAAUAUAAAUCCUUGAAGUAGGGAGAAAGAUUUUAAAGUUAAAGUUAUGCUAUGAAAUGCUAUGAUAUGAAUGAUAUGGUCGUUCUGAUACAAUGAUAUGAUAUGAUAUAAGCUCUCACCAGAUUUUAAAGAUAUGAGAGGGUAUGAUAUUCUGAUACAUGUGUUUCAAAUUAUUAGUUGUGAUCGCACCAUUAUAUUCUACUGAGUAUUCCCAUGUACUCAACCUUUUCCCUACUCCUCACAGGUUAGAUCGGGUCGUUAGUCGGCUGGUGAUGAGGUGAAAUUGUUGGGCCAAGAUUUAUGGGACUAAAUGAAAUAAUAAGUGUAACAUGCCCUAAAUUCUAAAUUUUAGCAGUAACCUUAGUUUAUUAAUUUAUUGAACUCGUUCAUUUAAUUUGAAAUUUGGGACGAAUUUGUUUAGACGUGUAAUUUCAUGCAAUAACUUGAAAUUUUUUUA